Molecule: ribosomal RNA, 581 nt
Filed under: uncultured bacterium
Lineage: Bacteria
Description: bacterial SSU rRNA
Rfam family: Bacterial small subunit ribosomal RNA
Source: RNAcentral
GAAUCUGCCUGGUAGUGGGGGAUAACGUUCGGAAACGGACGCUAAUACCGCAUACGUCCUACGGGAGAAAGCAGGGGACCUUCGGGCCUUGCGCUAUCAGAUGAGCCUAGGUCGGAUUAGCUAGUUGGUGGGGUAAUGGCUCACCAAGGCGACGAUCCGUAACUGGUCUGAGAGGAUGAUCAGUCACACUGGAACUGAGACACGGUCCAGACUCCUACGGGAGGCAGCAGUGGGGAAUAUUGGACAAUGGGCGAAAGCCUGAUCCAGCCAUGCCGCGUGUGUGAAGAAGGUCUUCGGAUUGUAAAGCACUUUAAGUUGGGAGGAAGGGUUGUAGAUUAAUACUCUGCAAUUUUGACGUUACCGACAGAAUAAGCACCGGCUAACUCUGUGCCAGCAGCCGCGGUAAUACAGAGGGUGCAAGCGUUAAUCGGAAUUACUGGGCGUAAAGCGCGCGUAGGUGGUUUGUUAAGUUGGAUGUGAAAUCCCCGGGCUCAACCUGGGAACUGCAUUCAAAACUGACUGACUAGAGUAUGGUAGAGGGUGGUGGAAUUUCCUGUGUAGCGGGUGAAAUGCGUAGAUAU